GACGAACGCUGGCGGCGUGCUUAACACAUGCAAGUCGAACGGAAAGGCCCUGCUUUUGUGGGGUGCUCGAGUGGCGACAGUGUGAGUAACACUGGAGUAACCUGCCCUUCACUUCGGGAUACAUUCAGGAAACUGGGGCUAAUACCGGAUAGGAGCUCCUGCUGCAUGGUGGGGGUUGGAAAGUUUCGGCGGUUGGGGAUCGACUCGCGGCUUAUCAGCUUGUUGGUGGGGUAGUGGCUUACCAAGGCUUUGACGGGUAGCCGGCCUGAGAGGGUGACCGUACCAAUUGGGCCUGAGAGAACGCGCAUGCUCGGGAGUGAGGCAGCAGUGGGGAAUAUUGCACAAUGGGCGGAAGCCUGAUGCAGCACAGCCGGGUGCGGGAUGACGGCCUUCGGGUUGUACAGAGCGGGCGCCUGUGACGAAGCGUGAGUGACGGUAAUGGGUAAAGAAGCACCGGCUAACUACGUG
This 468-nucleotide ribosomal RNA is filed under the name uncultured bacterium. RNAcentral's name for it is "partial 16S ribosomal RNA". It matches the Rfam family "Bacterial small subunit ribosomal RNA", at positions 28 to 507 of the family's 1533-position model. The record is from RNAcentral.